Hordeum vulgare subsp. vulgare (domesticated barley) is the source of this 1518-nucleotide RNA transcript. It is a transcript of the gene named ethylene-responsive transcription factor 1-like, with no coding region annotated. Lineage: Eukaryota; Viridiplantae; Streptophyta; Magnoliopsida; Poales; Poaceae. The record is from RefSeq and is a predicted model, not a curated record. The transcript is spliced from 3 exons.
CCCCACCCGCCAACCCACACCUGCUCCCCCGCUUCAUUAAAAACUGCCCAUUUUUCCAGUUCCGACGAGGCGCCUCCCCCCCCUCCCCGCCGAAGACUAGGUCGAGUCACCGCCGGCAACAACCAUGUGCGGCGGCGCGAUCCUCAAGGACCUCAAGGUCCCCGCGGUGACGCGGAAGGUGACGGAGGCGGCGCUGUGGCCCGAGAAGAAGAAGCCCAGGCAGGCCGACGGCGGGGCCCGGCGCCUCGGGCUGGUCGACGGCGAGGAGGACUUCGAGGCCGACUUCGAGGAGUUCGAGGCCGACUCCGGGGACUCCGACCUGGAGCUCGGGCGCGGCCGGGCGGCUGAGAAGGACGACGACGAGGUCGUCGAGAUCAAGCCCUACGCCGCCGUCAAGAGGCCCCUCUCCCAAGAUGACUUCAGCAUCAUUACUACUGCUGGUUGUGAUGGUCCUGCACAAAGGUCAGCAAAAAGGAAGAGAAAGAACCAAUUCAGGGGUAUCCGUCAGCGCCCCUGGGGUAAGUGGGCUGCUGAAAUCAGAGAUCCUAGCAAAGGUGUCCGUGUUUGGCUUGGUACUUUCAACAGUGCUGAAGAAGCUGCAAGAGCCUACGAUGUUGAAGCACGCAGGAUCCGUGGCAAGAAGGCCAAGGUAAACUUUCCAGAGGAACCAACAGUUCCUCAGAAGCGCCGUGUUCGCCCUGCUCCUCUUAAAGCACCCAAGCUAAGCGCAUCACAGGAACCUACCGUCAUACCAGCAGUCAACAACCUUGCCAACCCAAAUGCUUUCGUCUACCCAUCUGCUGACUUUGCAUCAAACCAGCCACCUGUUCAGCCUGAUAACGUGCCAUUUGUUCCUGCAAUGAAGUUUGCUGCCCCUGUUGAAGCUCCUGUUAUGAACAUGUACUCUGACCAGGGAAGCAACUCUUUUGGCUGUUCUGACUUGGGCUGGGACUAUGAGACCAAGACUCCAGAUAUAUCAUCCGUUGCUCCCAUUUCCACCGUUGCUGAAGGAGCAGAAUCUGCGCUUAUCCAGAGCAACACCUACAACUCAGUGGUGCCUCCUGUUAUGGAGAACAAUGCUGUCGAUUUUGAACCUUGGACGAGGUUUCUUAUGGAUGAUGGCGUGGAUGAGCCGAUUGAUAGCCUUCUGAAUUUUGAUGUGCCUCAGGAUGUCGUUAGCAACAUGGACCUUUGGAGCUUCGGUGACAUGCCCAUCUGUGGCGAAUUUUUCUGAGGGAUUCAAACCCCUGUAUAUCAGGACAAAGGGAAUGAGACUAUGGGAGAUUGGGAAGCACCCUGUUGUCAACUUCGGCUAUCAUAUGCUUAUGUCCAAGCUUAGAUGCAAAAAAGUUGCAUCCUGAGUCUCUUUUGUAAUCAACCCUUCUCCUAGCUGACUGUCGAUGAACCGUUGUCAUUUAUGAGUCUGAUGAACCGUUGUCUUUAUCUUUUGUCAACUUAUAUGUCGUCGCUACCAUUUCUGAAUGUGAACGGCAUGGAUCUAUGUCCAGUUUGCUUUAA